AGUGAACGCUGGCGGCGUGCUUAACACAUGCAAGUCGAACGAGAACGGGUUAUAGCCUGCUAUAAUUGUCAGCUAAGUGGCGCACGGGUGAGUAAUGUAUAGGUAAUAUGCCUUUUACUAAGGGAUAACAAAUGGAAACGUUUGCUAAUACCUUAUACUCCUUAUUAACAUAAGUUAAUAAGGGAAAGAUUUAUUGGUAAGAGAUUAGCCUGUAUUGUAUCAGUUAGUUGGUGGGGUAAUGGCUUACCAAGACUAUGACACAUAACUGGUUUGAGAGGAUGAUCAGUCACACUGGAACUGAGACACGGUCCAGACUCCUACGGGAGGCAGCAGUGGGGAAUAUUGCACAAUGGACGAAAGUCUGAUGCAGCAACGCCGCGUGGAGGAUGACACAUUUCGGUGCGUAAACUCCUUUUAUAUGAGAAGAUAAUGACGGUAUUAUAUGAAUAAGCACCGGCUAACUCCGUGCCAGCCGCCGCCGUAA
This 484-nucleotide ribosomal RNA is filed under the name uncultured bacterium. Its description in RNAcentral is "partial 16S ribosomal RNA". It matches the Rfam family "Bacterial small subunit ribosomal RNA", at positions 29 to 523 of the family's 1533-position model. The record is from RNAcentral.